GAUGAACGCUGGCGGCGUGCCUAAUACAUGCAAGUCGAGCGAACGGACGAGAAGCUUGCUUUUCUGAUGUUAGCGGCGGACGGGUGAGUAACACGUGGAUAACCUACCUAUAAGACUGGGAUAACUUCGGGAAACCGGAGCUAAUACCGGAUAAUAUUUUGAACCGCAUGGUUCAAAAGUGAAAGACGGUCUUGCUGUCACUUAUAGAUGGAUCCGCGCUGCAUUAGCUAGUUGGUAAGGUAACGGCUUACCAAGGCAACGAUGCAUAGCCGACCUGAGAGGGUGAUCGGCCACACUGGAACUGAGACACGGUCCAGACUCCUACGGGAGGCAGCAGUAGGGAAUCUUCCGCAAUGGGCGAAAGCCUGACGGAGCAACGCCGCGUGAGUGAUGAAGGUCUUCGGAUCGUAAAACUCUGUUAUUAGGGAAGAACAUAUGUGUAAGUAACUGUGAACAUCUUGACGGUACCUAAUCAGAAAGCCACGGCUAACUACGU
This 496-nucleotide ribosomal RNA is filed under the name uncultured bacterium. Its description in RNAcentral is "partial 16S ribosomal RNA". It matches the Rfam family "Bacterial small subunit ribosomal RNA", at positions 28 to 506 of the family's 1533-position model. The record is from RNAcentral.